UUCAUAAUAAUUCAUGAUGAUUGUGGCAAAAUAGAGUAUAAUUACGUUUUUGUGCAAUGAAAAAUGCCUGCCCUUACAUCUAUUGUAAUUUGGUUAAAUUAUGAAUAAAUUCCAGGCGACUGUUUCAGCACGAAUUAUGCUCUUUUUUAUAUGUGAUUGGUUAAUGUUUGGCCACUAUCUCGUAUAGUGGUACCUAAAGGGUGAUCCAACCUAAGAUAGAGCCCAUGUAUUUACCUUUAGGCAAGCACUCCCUGUUUCUAAACGAAUUUUUAAAUGACGGGCGCAAGCCGCGGCAGUUUUCAAACAAAACUUUACAAUCAAACUACUGUCAUUCAAAACAUAUCAAACGGGCUUCGCAACCAAAAAAUGAAUGUAUAGGUAUUGUAAAACGUAAACAAGAAUUCAAUAAAAAAUAAGAAAAAAUAAAUGGAAAGAUAACGUUUUAAUGAGUGCACAACAAAAUAAAUAUGGGAAAGCGGAAAAUGUGCAGUCCCGACGAAGCAUGGGGAUAUUCCGCAUGCUCGUCUUUUUUUACGUAGUCAUAUACAUUGGUGUAUACGUUGCACUGAUCAUGGUUCUGCUUUGUGUUAGAGGAAUUGUCUUAUCAUCUAGCAGCAUUCGCGAGGAACCUUUAAUGACAUACGAUUAUGAAUAAGUUACAAGAAGCAGAAGUAUACCUAUAAUUAAUCAAACUUUCGAAUCAAGUGUUAUUAUAAGAAGCGAGAUGGAUGUGAGAGCCAGGCUUCGACUGAAGUGAUUCCAAGGCCUCAGAAAACGUUGUUUUACGCCGUGUGAGUCCAACACAAGCGUUCACUCUCUAUGUAUUGCCGACCGAUACUUACUACGGUAAGAGAUUCCAGAAGAGAUGGCUCCAAAUCCCCAAAAUGUUGGCAACACACUUGUAGCUGCUCUGGUGUUUGCCGCAUAAAAAAAGCGAUGCAAUUUUUCGACUUUCCCUGAAGAGGUGCUGCUACCUACUCAUUCAUUUAUUCUUUACCUACAAACGCAAACAAAUGGACCGAGUUUAAAAGCCCUCCAGCUUUUAAAAUUAAACUAUGUUAUUGGUGUUUGAGUAAUAAUUAAAAUGCAAUGUUUUAAUGUAAUAUAGUAUUUGUAUCGUGCUACUA
Long non-coding RNA from Spodoptera frugiperda (fall armyworm), 1127 nucleotides. RefSeq lists it as uncharacterized. The transcript is spliced from 2 exons. The record is from RefSeq and is a predicted model, not a curated record. NCBI's taxonomy places the organism in Eukaryota, Metazoa, Arthropoda, Insecta, Lepidoptera, Noctuidae.